This 99-nucleotide transfer RNA is filed under the name Auriscalpium vulgare. RNAcentral's name for it is "tRNA-Glu". It matches the Rfam family "tRNA". Rfam says of the family: Transfer RNA (tRNA) molecules are approximately 80 nucleotides in length. Their secondary structure includes four short double-helical elements and three loops (D, anti-codon, and T loops). Lineage: Eukaryota; Fungi; Basidiomycota; Agaricomycetes; Russulales; Auriscalpiaceae. The record is from RNAcentral.
UCGGGUAUGGUGUAACGGCUAACAUUGCCGCCUCUCAGUCCGCUUGCGUUACGUAGGCAGUGGCCGCGGCAGCUCGGGGUUCGAUUCCCCGUACCCGAA